Non-coding RNA from Phrynosoma platyrhinos (Desert horned lizard), 72 nucleotides. Lineage: Eukaryota; Metazoa; Chordata; Lepidosauria; Squamata; Phrynosomatidae. The record is from the annotation of a GenBank genome assembly.
GCCAGUGUGGCGUAGUGGUUUGAGUGUUGGACUGCGUAUCUGGAGACUAGGGUUCAAUUCCCAGUUCUGUCA